RNAcentral lists this ribosomal RNA (381 nucleotides) under uncultured bacterium. RNAcentral describes it as "bacterial SSU rRNA". It matches the Rfam family "Bacterial small subunit ribosomal RNA", at positions 28 to 436 of the family's 1533-position model. The record is from RNAcentral.
GACGAACGCUGGCGGUGUGCUUCACACAUGCAAGUCGAACGAGGUAGCAAUACCUAGUGGCGGACGGGUGAGUAACGCGUGGGAAUCUGCCUUUAGAUGGGGGAUAACGGGUCGAAAGACUCGCUAAUACCGCAUAUGACGAAAGUUGAAAGGAGUAAUCCGUCUAAAGAUGAGCCCGCGUCCGAUUAGCUAGUUGGUAGAGUAAAAGCCUACCAAGGCGACGAUCGGUAGCUGGUCUGAGAGGAUGAUCAGCCACAAUGGGACUGAGACAACAGCCCAUACUCCUACGGAGGCAGCAGUGGGAAGUUUUACGCAAUGGCGAAAGCCUGACGUAGCGACACCGCGUGAGCGAAGAAGACCCUUCGGGGUGUAGAGCUCUGU